RNAcentral lists this long non-coding RNA (371 nucleotides) under Polistes fuscatus (common paper wasp). RNAcentral's name for it is "uncharacterized LOC122514270". Lineage: Eukaryota; Metazoa; Arthropoda; Insecta; Hymenoptera; Vespidae. The record is from RNAcentral.
ACGAUGAGGACAACAAGGUUUAUGGUAAAAUACGAGGAUAUAACUAUAUGAACGAGGAUGACUAUGACUAUGACUAUGACUAUAACUAUGACUAUGACGGGGAGUACGAUGAGGACGAGAACGGGCACGACCACUGGCACGAUACCGCGUGGGGGUUGCACGGAGACCCCCUGGUGGGGCUCGGACUCCCGACCCCACAGUCCCCCGCUGGAAAUGAUAUCAGUCGCGACUCGGUCGAGGGAGCCCCAACAGCACGACUACGCUCGGUGCCCCUCUGACGCGAACCAAAACGAUCCUAAGCAAGAGGAUAUUCAUACGAAGCUCGUUUAUGCAACAACGACACGUGUAUUAUAAACACACACACACACACA